UACGUAGGGGGCAAGCGUUGUCCGGAUUUAUUGGGCGUAAAGCGCGUGUAGGCGGCCAGAUAGGUCUGCUGUGAAAACUCGAGGCUCAACUUCGAGCUGUCGGUGGAAACUAUCUGGCUAGAGUCCGGAAGAGGAGAAUGGAAUUCCUGGUGUAGCGGUGAAAUGCGCAGAUAUCAGGAAGAACACCAACGGCGAAGGCAGCUCGCUGGGACGGUACUGACGCUGAGACGCGAAAGCGUGGGGAGCGAACAGG
This 253-nucleotide ribosomal RNA is filed under the name uncultured bacterium. Its description in RNAcentral is "partial 16S ribosomal RNA". It matches the Rfam family "Bacterial small subunit ribosomal RNA", at positions 524 to 776 of the family's 1533-position model. The record is from RNAcentral.